UGCACCUUCGGCUCACGCGGGAGACCUCAUCGCUGCCAGCGAUGAGGUCAGGGGUUCGAUCCCCCUAGGCUCCAUC
Molecule: transfer RNA, 76 nt
Filed under: Bacillus sp. TS-2
Lineage: Bacteria; Bacillati; Bacillota; Bacilli; Caryophanales; Bacillaceae
Description: tRNA-Gly
Source: RNAcentral